UACGGGGGAUGCAAGCGUUGUCCGGAAUCAUUGGGCGUAAAGAGUUCGUAGGUGGCACGUUAAGUCUGGUGUUAAAUGCAGAUGCUCUACAUCUGUUCGGCACUGGAUACUGGCGAGCUUGAAUGCGGUAGAGGUAAAGGGAAUUCCUGGUGUAGCGGUGAAAUGCGUAGAUAUCAGGAGGAACAUCGGUGGCGUAAGCGCUUUACUGGGCCGUAAUUGACACUGAGGAACGAAAGCCAGGGUAGCAAAUGGG
RNAcentral lists this ribosomal RNA (253 nucleotides) under uncultured bacterium. Its description in RNAcentral is "partial 16S ribosomal RNA". It matches the Rfam family "Bacterial small subunit ribosomal RNA", at positions 524 to 776 of the family's 1533-position model. The record is from RNAcentral.